GAAAAAUUAGUUAAAAGUAAUAAUAUUGGUUUGUCAUUCCAAAGUAACUAUGAAGGUAGUAUUUUUCU
This 68-nucleotide transfer RNA is filed under the name Lirapex sp. ZZ-2022. RNAcentral's name for it is "tRNA-Asp". The record is from RNAcentral. Lineage: Eukaryota; Metazoa; Mollusca; Gastropoda; Neomphalida; Peltospiridae.